GUCAGGAUGAGCUUGUGUGGCACAAGUGACGACUUCAAAUCGUUAGACCAUUGAAAGGUGGUAGCAGUUCGAUUCUGUCUUCUUGACG
Molecule: non-coding RNA, 88 nt
Organism: Anaeramoeba flamelloides
Lineage: Eukaryota; Anaeramoebidae
Source: the annotation of a GenBank genome assembly